Molecule: unclassified non-coding RNA, 230 nt
Filed under: Hevea brasiliensis (rubber tree)
Lineage: Eukaryota; Viridiplantae; Streptophyta; Magnoliopsida; Malpighiales; Euphorbiaceae
Source: RNAcentral
AAUUCUAAUGUACAAGUUAGCAUUGAGUCAGGUGAACCUGUUAUUGCUCAACCUUUUAUUCUUUCACAUGUCCAAGCAAAGGAAGCUGAUAUCCAAGCUCUUUCAGAGUUGACUCGUGCUCUUGACAAGAAGGAGGCUGUGGUGUCUGAGUUGAAGCGCAUGAAUGAUGAGGUGGAAAACCAAAAAGAUGGAGAAAACUCCCUAAAUGCUUCUUAAAAAGUUCAGAAUCA